GAUGAACGCUGGCGGCGUGCCUAAUACAUGCAAGUCGAGCGAACAGACGAGGAGCUUGCUCCUCUGACGUUAGCGGCGGACGGGUGAGUAACACGUGGAUAACCUACCUAUAAGACUGGGAUAACUUCGGGAAACCGGAGCUAAUACCGGAUAAUAUAUUGAACCGCAUGGUUCAAUAGUGAAAGACGGUUUUGCUGUCACUUAUAGAUGGAUCCGCGCCGCAUUAGCUAGUUGGUAAGGUAACCGCUUACCAAGGCAACGAUGCGUAGCCGAUCUGAGAGGGUGAGCGGCCACACUGAAACUGAGACAUGGUCCAGACUCCUACGGGAGUCAGCAGUAGGGAAUCUUACGCAAUGAGGGAAAGCCUGACUGAAUAACGCCGCGCGAGUUCUGAAGGUCUUAGGAUCGUAUAACGCUGUUAUUAGAGAAGAACAAUUGUUUAAGUAACUAUGCACGUCUUAACGGUACCUAGGCAGAAAGCCACGGCUAACUACAUG
Molecule: ribosomal RNA, 497 nt
Filed under: uncultured bacterium
Lineage: Bacteria
Description: partial 16S ribosomal RNA
Rfam family: Bacterial small subunit ribosomal RNA
Source: RNAcentral